AAUGCUAGCCUCCGAGAACAAUACCCAGCCUUAUACAACAUUGCACGCGAUAAGAAUAAUACUAUUGCGCAGGUGCUCAGCUCAUCCCCGCCAAAUAUUUAAUUCAGGCGGGAUCUGAUUGGCACCCGACUUAUGUCAUGGAAUAAUCUAUUGUCCCGUUUGGAUUCGAUUAUCCUAACACAAGGUCGUGAUGUGUUUCGCUGGAACCUUACUACAUCGGGGUCUUUCACAGUA
Molecule: ribosomal RNA, 234 nt
Filed under: Triticum aestivum (bread wheat)
Lineage: Eukaryota; Viridiplantae; Streptophyta; Magnoliopsida; Poales; Poaceae
Description: partial small subunit ribosomal RNA
Source: RNAcentral